This is a long non-coding RNA of Saccostrea echinata, 224 nucleotides long. RefSeq lists it as uncharacterized. NCBI's taxonomy places the organism in Eukaryota, Metazoa, Mollusca, Bivalvia, Ostreida, Ostreidae. The record is from RefSeq and is a predicted model, not a curated record. The transcript is spliced from 3 exons.
AACUAUGCAACGCACCAUAUUGCAGCUCAAAAUGUAAGUUUAGAGACAGCAGGAAGCAUAGGAAAAAAUGUCCUGAGAUGUGCAAAGAUGAUCAGAAAAGGGAUGAAAGAGAAAAGGAGCUCGAAUUAUGCAUGAAAAAGUUACAAGAAGAAAACAGUCGUUUGAAGGAGAAUGUCUUGUGCACAAUUUGUCUUGAGGAAAAAGUAAAUGUUGCUUUUAAUCCC